GAUCAUGGCUCAGGAUGAACGCUAGCUACAGGCUUAACACAUGCAAGUCGAGGGGCAGCAUGGUCUUAGCUUGCUAAGGCCGAUGGCGACCGGCGCACGGGUGAGUAACGCGUAUCCAACCUGCCUUACACUCUUGGACAGCCUUCUGAAAGGGAGAUUAAUACAAGAUGUUAUCAUGAGUAAGCAUUUUCGUCAUGAUUAAAGUUUAACCGGUUGUAGAUGGGAGGUGCGUU
Molecule: ribosomal RNA, 233 nt
Filed under: uncultured bacterium
Lineage: Bacteria
Description: partial 16S ribosomal RNA
Rfam family: Bacterial small subunit ribosomal RNA
Source: RNAcentral